Molecule: long non-coding RNA, 266 nt
Filed under: Anser brachyrhynchus (Pink-footed goose)
Lineage: Eukaryota; Metazoa; Chordata; Aves; Anseriformes; Anatidae
Description: lncRNA (ENSABRG00000003762.1)
Source: RNAcentral
UCUGGACAUCAGGAAAGGACUGCCCCACUUCUUUCAGUCUAUCUCUGUGCAACUCUGGACCCAUGGCAUUAUUCCUGAGGUACUUCAGUAAAUGUCUGUUGUGACAUUGCAGUCCUGCCAGGCUUCUAGCACAUAAGGAUACAUACAGUACAUCUGACUCAAAGACUGGAGGAAACCUUUGCGAUUAGCUGGCGUGACAUCCUCCAGGACCUCCAUCUCGCCCCAGGACCUCCGUCUCGCCCCAGGACCUCCGUCUCGCCCCAGGA